Alligator mississippiensis (American alligator) is the source of this 3682-nucleotide long non-coding RNA. RefSeq lists it as uncharacterized. Lineage: Eukaryota; Metazoa; Chordata; Crocodylia; Alligatoridae. The transcript is spliced from 2 exons. The record is from RefSeq and is a predicted model, not a curated record.
CAAAAUAAGCAGCGAUGUUAAUUUUUGGCAGAUACUGCAAAUGACCACUGAUAAGAGGGUCAGGCUGACACGGCUGAACACACGCUGAUGAAACAGCUGUUCCCGUCACUGCACAUUCCUCUCGUGGCGCUCCUGCCAGCGCGGCUCUACAAGUUGCCCCCCCUCUCCCCCGCCUGUGAUCUUGUCCCUCAGACUCAGCAAGCCCCUGACGUGUAUUUACUCCCAGGACCAUUAGGACACCCUGGUCUCUCUCAGGUUCAUCAAAACAAUUACUUCCACCACACUUACUGGCAAUUAUAGGCUAGUCAGUCUUACCUUGGUCCUUGGGAAGACCUUUGAGAAAAUUAUCAAAGAGCACAUCUGCAAGGGCCCAGCAUGGGAGCUAUUGCUCAGGGGCAACCAACAUGGGUUCAUUGCGGGCAGGUCCUGCCUGACUAACCUGGUUUCUUUUUAUGAUCGGGUCACAAAGUCCCCGGAAGAGGGUGUCAGGGUGGAUGUCAUCUUCCUGGGCUUUAAGGCCUUUGACACUGUUUCCCACCACAUUCUCCUAAAAAAAAACAAACUUGGUGACGGUGGCAUUGAUGCCUACGUAGUCAGAUGGUCACACCCAGAGAGUGGUGGUGGACGGGUCAUCUUCCACCUGGAGAGAUGUGGGCAGUGGGGUCCCCCAGGGCUCGGUCCUGGGGCCUGCACUGUUCAACAUCCUCAUCAGUGAUCUGGAUGUGGGGGUAGAAAGCACGCGGUCCAAAUUCACUGACGACACCAAGAUGUGGGGCGAGGUGGGCACGCUGGAGGUGGGGGGACAGAAUCCAGCUAGAUCUAGACAGGUUGCAGAGGUGGGCGGAUGAGAAUAGGAUGGAGUUCAAUGCAGACAGGUGCAAGGUGCUGCAUCUAGGGAGGAGGAACCAGCAACACUCCUAUAGGCUGAGGAACACCCGUCUUGUCAACACGGUGCCAGAAAGGGAUCUUGGAGUCAUUGUUGACUCCAGGAUGGACAUGAACCUCCAAUGCAAGGAAGCCGUCAUUAAGGCUAGCUGCACCUUGUCAUGCAUCCACAGAUGCAUCUCGAGCAGGGCCAAGGAGGUGAUCCUCCCCCUCUAUGCGACACUGGUCAGGCCACAGCUGGAGUACUGCGUCCAGUUCUGGGCGCCGCACUUCAGGAGGGAUGUGCCCAGCAUCGAGAAGGUCCAGAGGGGGCCACCCCCAUGGUGGGGGGCAGCAGGGCAGGCCCUACGAGGAGAGGCUACAGGACCUGAACCUGUUCAGCCUCCACAAGAGAAGGCUGAGGGGGGACCUGGUGGCCAUUUACAAACUCAUGAGGGGAGACCAGCGAGAACUGGGGGAGCUCUGCGGCACCACCAGGGUUACAAGGAAUAAUGGCCACAAAUUGUUAGGAGAAGGUUCAGGCUGGACAUCAGGAGAUAUUACUUCACAGCGAGGGCUGCCAGGCUCUGGCCUGGGCUCCCAAGGGAGGUGGUGCUCUCCCCUACCUUGGGGGAGGCUGGACAGAUAUUUGGCUGGGGUGAUAUGAUCCUGGCACCCAUUCCUGCCCAGGGCAGGGGGUCGGACCUGAUGAUCCAUUUCGGUCCCUUCUGGCCCUAAGUACUAAGAUCCUAGGAAGACCAACACACCAUCUCACCGGUUCUCAGGGCCAGAUUCUUCCUGGCUUUUCAGUGCCUGGGGGCGAAGUAAACUGCUCUCCUCCCCCUAGCGCAGUGUAAUGGCCACACAACACGGCAGCCCUGGGUUUCUGAGGAGCGCAGGGCUGCUCUUGCCCGCGCGCUUGCUGCGCUAGGGGCAGCGAGGGCAGUCCUAGCACAGACAAGGCCACGCAGCGCGGGGAGAGCGCCGGCAGGGACCGCCCCGGCAGGUCACAGCCGCGUCCAUCGGCCGAGGGGUUUCCGAGGGAGGAGGCGGCGCGCGGCAGAUGCUGGGAGGACCAGGGCUGAACAGGGCUUUGCAGCAGAGGGACCGCAGCGGGUCGGAGCUGGCGAACGACACGUUGUUGGCACAGGGUCCCGUCCGCUUGGAGAGCUUUCAGAACAAGGCACGCCUGAGCCAAGUGAAGCGCUCGUACCAAGCGUCUGUGCAGAUGGGUACACAGGCACUUGAGGAAGCUAUUAAGUAAUAGUCUUGGGUAACGCGUGGCCUCCAGAUACUGAGUGACUGAAAGUUUUUUGCAUUGGGACACAAGGUAACCGAGGGACAUUAGCUGAGCUCCCCAGUUACCCAAAGAGACACUUGCACCUUGACCUGCCGCUAGGACAGUGGCUACGCCGUACCGUGGAGCCAUCACUCUCCUGCGCAGGCCUGGGGCCGGGGAGACCAGGGCUGGAGGCUCCCACUCGCCUUUCCCUUGGGAGCCUCCUUCUGGUCACAGGCCCACGACCGCCCUUGAGGGCCUCGCGGGGGCCGCUGCUCCUUGCCCCACCACACUGGGGGGCUCCUCCCUCCCGGCACAGGCGUCCCAGCCCCUGCCCCAGGCGCAGACACAGGCAGCAGGAGGGGCUGCGCGUGCAGCCUCCUGCGGGAUUCAGGCGGGGAGUCCCACGCCACAGCGUGCACCAACCUGCAAGCCCCGAAGCCAGGCAAGAGAGAAAGGGGCUGGGAAAAACCAUCCUCCUUUACGUUUCAACUUGAGCAAAAUUAUGCAUCUGAUCUAAUCCUAAGGAAUGAUCAAAUGGUUUUGGCUGAAGCUUUCCAAACACACAGAAGGUAGGCAUUUAGCACCAACAACUUCAGCUGCACACUUAACAUUUAGCAACAUUAUAAUAAGCAACUAGACAGGUCUUAACAGAUUGCAGGAGAAUUUUAAAUAGACAGCAUUAGGCCUAAUCCGAGUCUUCGCCUUAACCAUCACUCCUCCAACCGAGAACUAAUAGUCAGAAAACACGAACCCCUCCUCCCCCACACACACACACGCUCCAUCCCUUACCAUCUUUUGGUUAUGCUUCAGCAUCUUUAAUUUUUCUAAGACUGCUUUAAUCUCCUGCUUUUCUAUGUCUACACUGCCACAAGACCAGACAAAAUACCCGUAAGGAAGAUCAUUCAGCUAAAGAGCUGCCGAAGCGAAGGGAAGACUCCAGGACAGGGUUUUCCGAUUGCUGGUGGUUUCUGUGAACAGCAGCUCACUCGCCGCGAUUAGUUGCUGAGGAUUGCAAAAAGAAGAGUUUAGUGGCAGGACCGUCACUACAAGCAGAGGGAGUGGCUGAGAAAAAGGCACACCUAUACCUGGGCCCAUCACCAAUGCAACUUUCACCGAGACCAAACCAAAUCAGCUUCCACGGGUCUUCCUUACAAGUCUGUUUGAAAACAUGUCACCUGCAGGCAUGCAGGAUUUCCUUCAGAGGGGCAGGAUGGAGUCAGCUCCUCUCUCCCCAGAAAGAAGGACAACUUUCAAAUGUAUAUUUGAUAAAACUGUAUUUUUGUGGGGUUUUUGUUUGUUUGUUUGCUUGUUUUUACAGACAUUUGUACACUUGGUUACAAAACUGUAAAGAACUACAACUUGUUUUUAAUCAUUUUUUGGUCGGCAAAUAUUGUAAAAUCUGUGUGUGCAAUUAUCAUGUAUUUACAGGGCCUCAUGUUAGUGAUUUUCAAUGAUUAUUCCAAUAAUGUCACACACUCUCAACAUAAGACAUGGCUUAAGAUAAAUAUAUUAGUAAAUAAAUAUUCUGAGAACAUA